This 537-nucleotide ribosomal RNA is filed under the name uncultured bacterium. RNAcentral's name for it is "bacterial SSU rRNA". It matches the Rfam family "Bacterial small subunit ribosomal RNA", at positions 1 to 525 of the family's 1533-position model. The record is from RNAcentral.
GCGAUGUUUGAUCCUGGCUCAGGACGAACGCUGGCGGCGUGCCUAAUACAUGCAAGUCGAGCGGACUGAUGCAGAGCUUGCUCUGUUGAUGUCAGCGGCGGACGGGUGAGUAACACGUGGGUAACCUGCCUGACAGACUGGGAUAACGCUUGGAAACGAGUGCUAAUACCAGAUAGUCUUUUAAACCGCAUGGUUUGAAAGGGAAAGAAGCUAUCGCUUCACUGUCAGAUGGACCCGCGGCGCAUUAGCUAGUUGGUGAGGUAAUGGCUCACCAAGGCGACGAUGCGUAGCCGACCUGAGAGGGUGACCGGCCACACUGGGACUGAGACACGGCCCAGACUCCUACGGGAGGCAGCAGUAGGGAAUCUUCCGCAAUGGGCGCAAGCCUGACGGAGCAACGCCGCGUGAGUGAUGAAGGCCUUCGGGUUGUAAAACUCUGUCUUCUGUGAAGAACAAGCCUGUGAGUGGAAAGCUCAGGCCUUGACGGUAACAGAGGAGGAAGCCCCGGCUAACUACGUGCCAGCAGCCGCGGUAAUA